GAUGAACGCUGGCGGCGUGCCUAAUACAUGCAAGUCGAGCGAACAGUCGAGGAGCUUGCUCCUCUGACGUUAGCGGCGGACGGGUGAGUAACACGUGUAUAACCUACCUAUCAGACUGGGAUCACUUCGGGAAUCCGGCUCUAAUACCGGAUAAUAUAUUGAACCGCGUGGUUCAAUAGUAAAAGACGGUUUUGCUGUCACUUAUAGCUGGAUCCGAGCCGCAGUAGAUAGUUGGUAAGGUAACGGGUUACCAAGGCAACGAUGCGUAGCCGACCUGAGAGGGUGAUCGGCGACACGGGAACGUAGACGCGGUCCAGACUCCUACGGUAGGCAGCAGUAGGGAAUGGUCCGCAAUGGGCGAAAGCCUGACGGAGCAACGCCGCGUGAGUGAUGAAGGUCUUCGGAUCGUAAAGCUCUGUUAUGAGGGAAGAACAAAUGUGUAAGUAACUAUGCACGUCUUGACGGUAACUAAUAAGAAAGCCACGGCUAACUACGUG
This 497-nucleotide ribosomal RNA is filed under the name uncultured bacterium. RNAcentral describes it as "partial 16S ribosomal RNA". It matches the Rfam family "Bacterial small subunit ribosomal RNA", at positions 28 to 507 of the family's 1533-position model. The record is from RNAcentral.